UGAGCUGUCCUGGAGAGUCCGUUGAAGUUGACAGAUGUGCACAGGAAUUCUCCCGAUUUCAUCAGGAUUUUCAAGGCUUGGAUAUUCUUGGAAUUCUGCCGAAUUUAGAUCUUCUUCUCCAUAUUGGACUUGGUUUGGACCUCUCCUUCAUGGACUAGGCUUUGUGGAUCAGCUGCUUUGCUUCCCUAGGUCCAUCAGGAACACUCCUCUCAGCACUCUUCUACAUGUCACCUAAAUAUCAGAGAAGUUAAAUCAAUUUGUGACAAUGUAAAAGCUUUACAGAAUCAUAAAAAAACAUCUCUAAGGCUCCACAAAUCAGCUUUUGACAAUUUUCUACAUCAUUCCUCUAUGUUUAACACGUUUUACACAUAACUCCACCAAAAACUUUCGACUCUACAUUAUGACUCUAUUCUAUGACAAUAAGAGAUAAUCAAAGUACAAAUGGAGGUAAUAACACAUUAAGAAUGUCGCAUUUUAUGCUCCUAUCACUCUUAAAUCCAUAAAAAUUCAUAUAGGAAAUAUGGACGUGUGUAAAUAUGACAGGACCUACCCCGGAUUUCACUCUGAAAUCCGGAGAGGCUCUGCGGGGGCCUACUAACAAUCCAUUCCCAAAUACUUCCCUUAACCAACCACCCUUUACUUUUGGAUAUGGAUGCUUCAUUUCUUACAACAAACCACGUUUAAUAACUCAGGUUACCUUAAUUAACCCUUAACCAUCCGAUUUAACUCCAGCAAACACUUUAAUAAUUCAAUUAAUUGCUUUACUUGAAAUCAAUUAGUUCUUUAAUAAGAACAAACCUUUUCACUAAAACCAUUCCUCAUUUGUCCAAUUAAUUUUCUUAACCCGUACAAUCCUCAAUCACAACACAAUUACAAUUGUUUCUUGAUUUAUACAUUCCUCUUUCAUUAAACACCAACCAUUUUACUAGGGUCUUUAUGAAUCUUUGUUGUUGUUUUUGACUAGCGGGGCUAGUCAAUUAUUUUGGAUUUUCUGUUACGAGGGUUAUUAUUUAUCUUUGUUGUUAGUUAGACUA
Molecule: long non-coding RNA, 1034 nt
Filed under: Fragaria vesca (wild strawberry)
Lineage: Eukaryota; Viridiplantae; Streptophyta; Magnoliopsida; Rosales; Rosaceae
Description: long non-coding RNA (FVES_LNC004909)
Source: RNAcentral